GAUGAACGCUGGCGGCGUGCUUAACACAUGCAAGUCGAAUGUAGUUUACUACAUGGCGGACGGGUGAGUAACGCGUGAGCAAUCUGCCCAUAUCUGGGGGAUAACAGUUGGAAACGACUGAUAAUACCGCAUGAUAUCAUUUUUAGGCAUCUUUUAAUGAUCAAAGAUUUAUCGGAUAUGGAUGAGCUCGCGUCUGAUUAGCUUGUUGGUGAGGUAACGGCUCACCAAGGCGACGAUCAGUAGCCGACCUGAGAGGGUGAUCGGCCACAUUGGGACUGAGACACGGCCCAAACUCCUACGGGAGGCAGCAGUGGGGAAUAUUGGUCAAUGGAGGAAACUCUGAACCAGCAACGCCGCGUGAAUGAUGAAGGUCUUCGGAUUGUAAAGUUCUUUUCUGAGGGACGAAGAAAGUGACGGUACCUCAGGAAUAAGCCUCGGCUAACUACGUGCCAGCAGCCGCGGUAAUACGUAGGAGGCGAGCGUUAUCCGGAAUGACUGGGUGUAAAGGGAGCGUAGACGGCGCGGCAAGUCUGAAGUGAAAGCCCGGGGCUUAACCCCGGGACUGCUUUGGAAACUGCCAUGCUGGAGUGCUGGAGAGGUAAGUGGAAUUCCUAGUGUAGCGGUGAAAUGCGUAGAUAUUAGGAGGAACACCAGUGGCGAAGGCGGCUUACUGGACAGUAACUGACGUUGAGGCUCGAAGGCGUGGGGAGCAAACAGGAUUAGAUACCCUGGUAGUCCACGCGGUAAACGAUGAAUACUAGGUGUCGGGGAGCAAAGCUUUUCGGUGCCGGCGCAAACGCAAUAAGUAUUCCACCUGGGGAGUACGUUCGCAAGAAUGAAACUCAAAGGAAUUGACGGGGACCCGCACAAGCGGUGGAGCAUGUGGUUUAAUUCGAAGCAACGCGAAGAACCCUACCAAAUCUUGACAUCCCGAUGACUGGGGCGUAAUGGCCCUUUCCCUUCGGGGCAUUGGAGACAGGUGGUGCAUGGUUGUCGUCAGCUCGUGUCGUGAGAUGUUGGGUUAAGUCCCGCAACGAGCGCAACCCUUAUCCUUAGUAGCCAGCAGUAAGAUGGGCACUCUAGGGAGACUGCCAGGGAUAACCUGGAGGAAGGUGGGGAUGACGUCAAAUCAUCAUGCCCCUUAUGAUUUGGGCUACACACGUGCUACAAUGGCGUAAACAAAGGGAAGCGAAGGCGUGAGCCGGAGCAAAUCUCAAAAAUAACGUCUCAGUUCGGAUUGUAGUCUGCAACUCGACUACAUGAAGCUGGAAUCGCUAGUAAUCGUGAAUCAGAAUGUCGCGGUGAAUACGUUCCCGGGUCUUGUACACACCGCCCGUCACACUAUGGGAGUCGAUAACGCCCGAAGUCAGUGACCCAACCGAAAGGAGGGAGCUGCCGAAGGCGGGAUUGAUAACUGGGGUGA
This 1423-nucleotide ribosomal RNA is filed under the name uncultured bacterium. RNAcentral's name for it is "bacterial SSU rRNA". It matches the Rfam family "Bacterial small subunit ribosomal RNA". The record is from RNAcentral.